CACGUAGGGGGCGAGCGUUGUCCGGAUUCAUUGGGCGUAAAGGGCGCGUAGGCGGCCCGCUAAGUCGCGCGUGAAAUCCGCCGGCUCAACCGGCGGGGGUCGGGCGAUACUGGGGGGCUCGGAGGGCGGGAGAGGCGAGCGGAAUUCCGGGUGUAGUGGUGAAAUGCGUAGAUAUCCGGAGGAACACCGGUGGCGAAGGCGGCUCGCUGGUCCGCACCUGACGCUGAGGCGCGAAGGCCGGGGGAGCGAACGGG
This 254-nucleotide ribosomal RNA is filed under the name uncultured bacterium. RNAcentral's name for it is "partial 16S ribosomal RNA". It matches the Rfam family "Bacterial small subunit ribosomal RNA", at positions 524 to 776 of the family's 1533-position model. The record is from RNAcentral.